Molecule: transfer RNA, 76 nt
Filed under: Trichalus sp. UPOL A00032
Lineage: Eukaryota; Metazoa; Arthropoda; Insecta; Coleoptera; Lycidae
Description: tRNA-Glu
Source: RNAcentral
AUUUCUUUAAUUUAUUUAUAUAGUUUAAAAAAACAUUACAUUUUCAUUGUAAAAUUAAAUAUCCCAUAUUUUAUAA